Molecule: ribosomal RNA, 468 nt
Filed under: uncultured bacterium
Lineage: Bacteria
Description: partial 16S ribosomal RNA
Rfam family: Bacterial small subunit ribosomal RNA
Source: RNAcentral
GACGAACGCUGGCGGCGUGCUUAACACAUGCAAGUCGAACGGAAAGGCCCUGCUUUUGUGGGGUGCUCGAGUGGCGAACGGGUGAGUAACACGUGAGUAACCUGCCCUUGACUUUGGGAUAACUUCAGGAAACUGGGGCUAAUACCGGAUAGGAGCUCCUGCUGCAUGGUGGGGGUUGGAAAGUUUCGGCGGUUGGGGAUGGACUCGCGGCUUAUCAGCUUGUUGGUUGGGUAGUGGCUUACCAAGGCUUUGACGGGUAGCCGGCCUGAGAGGGUGAACGGCGACAUUGGGACUGCGAUACGGACCAGACUCGUAUGGGAGGCAGUAGUGGGGAAUCUUGCACAAUGGGCGGAAGCCUGAUGCAGCAACGCCGGGUGCGGGAUGACGGCCUUCGGGUUGUAAACCGCUUUCGCCUGUGACGAAGAGUGAGUGACGGUAAUGGGUAAAGAAGCACCGGCUAACUACGUG